AGGUGUCAUAGUGUGGUUGUGAGGUGUCCUAGCUACUUUACCUGUCAUAGUGUGGUUGUGAGGUGUCAUAGUGUGGCUGUGAGGUGUCCUAGCUACUUUACCUGUCAUAGUGUGGUUGUGAGGUGUCAUAGUGUGGUUGUGAGGUGUCAUAGUGUGGUUGUGAGGUGUCAUAGUGUGGUUGUGAGGUGUCCUAGCUACUUUACCUGUCAUAGUGUGGUUGUGAGGUGUCAUAGUGUGGUUGUGAGGUGUCAUAGUGUGGUUGUGAGGUGUCCUAGCUACUUUACCUGUCAUAGUGUGGUUGUGAGGUGUCCUAGCUACUUUACCUGUCAUAGUGUGGUUGUGAGGUGUCAUAGUGUGGUUGUGAGGUGUCAUAGUGUGGUUGUGAGGUGUCAUAGUGUGG
Molecule: long non-coding RNA, 400 nt
Organism: Coregonus clupeaformis (lake whitefish)
Lineage: Eukaryota; Metazoa; Chordata; Actinopteri; Salmoniformes; Salmonidae
Exons: 4
Source: RefSeq, a predicted model, not a curated record